Molecule: ribosomal RNA, 525 nt
Filed under: uncultured bacterium
Lineage: Bacteria
Description: partial 16S ribosomal RNA
Rfam family: Bacterial small subunit ribosomal RNA
Source: RNAcentral
UGGGGAAUUUUGGACAAUGGGCGAAAGCCUGGUCCAGCAAUGCCGCGUGUGUGAAGAAGGCAUUCGGGUUGUAAAGCACUUUUGUCCGGAAAGAAAUCCUUGGCUCUAAUACAGUCGGGGGAUGACGGUACCGGAAGAAUAAGCACCGGCUAACUACGUGCCAGCAGCCGCGGUAAUACGUAGGGUGCAAGCGUUAAUCGGAAUUACUGGGCGUAAAGCGUGCGCAGGCGGUUUGCUAAGACCGAUGUGAAAUCCCCGGGCUCAACCUGGGAACUGCAUUGGUGACUGGCAGGCUAGAGUAUGGCAGAGGGGGGUAGAAUUCCACGUGUAGCAGUGAAAUGCGUAGAGAUGUGGAGGAAUACCGAUGGCGAAGGCAGCCCCCUGGGCCAAUACUGACGCUCAUGCACGAAAGCGUGGGGAGCAAACAGGAUUAGAUACCCUGGUAGUCCACGCCCUAAACGAUGUCAACUAGUUGUUGGGGAUUCAUUCCUUAGUAACGUAGCUAACGCGUGAAGUUGACCGCCU